Molecule: long non-coding RNA, 918 nt
Filed under: Cyanistes caeruleus (blue tit)
Lineage: Eukaryota; Metazoa; Chordata; Aves; Passeriformes; Paridae
Description: lncRNA (ENSCCEG00000016432.1)
Source: RNAcentral
GCACUAUACACUCAUGCUAUGCUCUGAGUCUCAGAAAGCAAGAGCUGCACAGAAAAUCUAUGCAGUUGUUGUCUUUCCUAUUCUUCUUUAUAAACAAUUUUCAGCCAUAUAAGUUGUACAAAAUAAUGGUACAUGCAUCUGAUGUGUGUCAGUGUGAAAGUUUCCUAAGACAUGAAAAGACUUUUGGAGUGACCCACUUUUACUCCAUUGAAGGAGUUCCUAGGACUGGUCCUGCUAAUGUGACAAUUCUGAAUAUAACAAAGCAUUCUGCACUUGUAAAGUGGAGUGAAAUAGCUGCAGAAGACCGUUUGGGCUUUCUCCAGGGAUACAGGAUCAGUUACACAGAUUCAUCAAGGAAAAACUCUCCAGCUAUUACUCUCAACUCCUCUAUCACAAGUUACCAUCUUACUGGACUGAAGGAAAAGACCACCUAUCGUGUGCAGAUUUCAGGAUUCACUAAUGCUGGAGAAGGACCUCUGACUCUUUCUCAAUCUUUCAGCACUCCAAAAUAUGGUACUGUGGAACCUCUGUGCAUUAGCUGGCAUGAAUCUUUGCUUUAUGCUUUCUCUGUGCUCACUCAUAAGAUUUAUUAUUCAACCCUCAGUUACUGAGAGCAAACACAAAAUUGUUCCUCUGCAAGAGGUAAACUUUGUGUCACAGAACAACUCUGCCUGUGUUUCAUUAUCUAGUAUUCAGGGAAGCCUUAGCUAGGAUUCUUCAUCUCUGAAAUCUUUGCUGAACUUUUUGUGCUAGCUAUGUCUUAAUUUAUUGACAAUUACUCUCUAGAUUUCAGCAGUUGAAAUUUCUGCCUGUGACUAGUAAUGUUCAAUCAUCUGCUCUUGGCAAAAUCCUGAGCAAUCACGCAAAAUUGGCUUCCUGAGCCAUUAACUGCAAAAAUAAAAGAUUAAGUACCUUUCA